This 434-nucleotide ribosomal RNA is filed under the name uncultured Pseudobutyrivibrio sp. RNAcentral describes it as "partial 16S ribosomal RNA". It matches the Rfam family "Bacterial small subunit ribosomal RNA", at positions 341 to 792 of the family's 1533-position model. Lineage: Bacteria; Bacillati; Bacillota; Clostridia; Lachnospirales; Lachnospiraceae. The record is from RNAcentral.
ACGGGAGGCAGCAGUGGGGAAUAUUGCACAAUGUGCGCAAGCCUGAUGCAGCGACGCCGCGUGAGCGAAGAAGUAUUUCGGUAUGUAAAGCUCUAUCAGCAGGGAAGAUAAUGACGGUACCUGACUAAGAAGCACCGGCUAAAUACGUGCCAGCAGCCGCGGUAAUCCGUAUGGUGCAAGCGUUAUCCGGAUUUACUGGGUGUAAAGGGAGCGUAGGCGGUGUUACAAGUCUGAUGUGAAAGCCCGGGGCUCAACUCCGGUAUUGCAUUGGAAACUGUAGAACUAGAGUGUCGGAGGGGUAAGUGGAAUUCCUAGUGUAGCGGUGAAAUGCGUAGAUAUUAGGAGGAACACCAGUGGCGAAGGCGGCUUACUGGACGAUUACUGACGCUGAGGCUCGAAAGCGUGGGGAGCAAACAGGAUUAGAUACCCUGGUA